Molecule: long non-coding RNA, 560 nt
Filed under: Elaeis guineensis (African oil palm)
Lineage: Eukaryota; Viridiplantae; Streptophyta; Magnoliopsida; Arecales; Arecaceae
Description: long non-coding RNA (EGUI_LNC043487)
Source: RNAcentral
GAUACCAUGCGAUUCUCCUAUCCGCUGGCAAGUCACGACAACGGACGCUGCUCCACCUCUCAUAACAGAUUCCACAUGGCGGGCCGCGGUGAUGGCCACGUGUCUGCUCCACCAUCUUCCGCAAUCAAUUCCCCCUGACCAUGGGCGGCCCACUACCAGGCGGUUACAAACGUCGNNNNNNNNNNNNNNNNNNNNUUCUCCUAUCCGCUGGCAAGUCACGACAACGGACGCUGCUCCACCUCUCAUAACAGAUUCCACAUGGCGGGCCGCGGUGAUGGCCACGUGUCUGCUCCACCAUCUUCCGCAAUCAAUUCCCCCUGACCAUGGGCGGCCCACUACCAGGCGGUUACAAAUGUCGCCAUCAAUCCGUUGCCUCCUCCGCCUAUAAAAGGGAGACCCAGAUACGUUAUUCUUUAAGCUCAUUUUCCUUAUCUCAAAACUCUGCUAAAUUCUCCGUUCGAGCACUCCAUUCUUGUUGAGGCAGAGAACUGACUUGAGCAUCGGAGGGUCUUGCCGGAGCAACCCCACCUCCGGUUUAGACUUCCCUUGCAGGUCCCGGC